This 70-nucleotide transfer RNA is filed under the name Bos taurus (domestic cattle). It matches the Rfam family "tRNA". Rfam says of the family: Transfer RNA (tRNA) molecules are approximately 80 nucleotides in length. Their secondary structure includes four short double-helical elements and three loops (D, anti-codon, and T loops). The record is from Rfam by way of RNAcentral. RNAcentral also lists the same sequence under 3 other names. Lineage: Eukaryota; Metazoa; Chordata; Mammalia; Artiodactyla; Bovidae.
UCCCUGGUGGCUCAGAGAUAAGCGUCUGCCUGCAAUGCGGGAGACCCAGGUUCGAUCCCUGGGUUGGGAA